Molecule: unclassified non-coding RNA, 289 nt
Filed under: plant metagenome
Description: partial contains small subunit ribosomal RNA, internal transcribed spacer 1, and 5.8S ribosomal RNA
Rfam family: Eukaryotic small subunit ribosomal RNA (bases 1-54)
Source: RNAcentral
GGAAGUAAACGUCGUAACAAGGUUUCCGUAGGCGAACCUGCGGAAGGAUCAUUAUCGUACAAAAUGUGAGGGGCAUGCGAGGGCUGUCGCUGACCCUAAAGUCGUGCACGCCCGAGUGUGUCCUCUUGCAUAAUAAUCCAUCUCACCCUUUGUGCAUCACCGCGUGGGCACCCUUCGGGAUCAUCUCGGAGGGGAGCUCGCGUUUUCACACAAACCCCCCUUUUAAAAGUGUAGAAUGACCACAUUUAUGCAAUCAAUACAACUUUCAACAACGGAUCUCUUGGCUCUC